GUAAAUAUUUUCAUAUUUUAAUCUUGGCACUUGUGAAGUCUGUGUCUUCCCAUGUUUUAGCGUCAGCAUAUAGGCAGACGAUCAGUCCGACGUUAGAGUCGGCGCCGACUCCACUGAGCUAGGAGAAGGGCGAGGUACGAGGGUGUGUGAGGGGUAAAUGAGAGAAAGAGAAAGCAGCUUGCUACUAGCGGACACACGGUAGGCUGCUAGCUGAACGUAGCAGCAUGGCGGGGCAAAGGGACUUCCAACAAGGCAGCCACUGCCACAGAAAAACGUGGAUUAAUAUACUACUUGGGAUCCUACAGCUGUUGUUGUCCUGCCUUCAGCACGGAGGUGCCCAACUGCCAGGCGGAGGAAGAGCACAGCAAAGAGAGUCUCCCACAGGAAGAGAGCUCUUCAUUUUAUCUGCGGGAGAGUGGAAGACCCCUCCGAUUUCAGCCUCCAACUCUAGAGUUUGGGACUCAGUAAGUGAUGCACCUCACUCUCGCAAUCUUGCACACAUACACCCUCCAACACUGAAAUAUAAAAAUUAGGCUUGUCAAAACAUAACUUUAAUUUAGAUUAAUUGCAGAAAAAAUGUACGCAGAUUAAUCCCACUCUAUCAUGCCCCUUGACCACAUACUGUGCACCACUGUGUUGCGGUAAUGGCUUGUGUUUCUCCCACUGUGUUGCGGUAAUGGCUUGUGUUUCUCCCACUGUGUUGCGAUAAUGGCUUGUGUUUCUCCCACUGUGUGUUUCUCCCACUUUUGAUGUGGAGCUGACAUCAAUGUCUUGGGCCAACUGGUUAGUUGGAUAGUAGGUCUACAGCCUCAUCUUGGAAUUAUUUGUAUUAUUAUUAUAUUAUUUGAUCAGUGCUUUAAUUGUUGGUGUAGUCUGAAAUUACCUAAGUUAGUUAGCUCACUAGUUUUAGACUAGUUAUUAGAUGGGUUAAUCAGGAAUAAAGAAAAUGUGUUCUUCAUAAAUGGAGUUCAUUGUUUGCCAGUAAUGUGUGGUGAACAUCACACUGCUAAGGCUUGUUUACUUUGUCACUUCACGUCAAUGGCAAAUUUGAUGGAUUUUUAAAUGCUAAUUGCGAUUAAUUUAGAUUAAUUAUUCACAAAGCAUGUCAUUUUGGUUAUCGCUUGACAGCCCUAAUUCAAUAUUUUUUACAAUCAUUGUAAUGCAAAUGAUAUGGAAUGUUUGGAAUUUCGUUCAAAUGAUCAUGUUUACAAGCAUUUUCCAUGUUAAAAUGACCCUUAAACUGUCCUUCAUUGACAUAACACUAAUGAUGUCAAGCUUAUGCCAUUGUUUGGCUAGCAUUAUGACAGAUGAGGUGUUUAAACAAUCAACAUGAGCUCUGUUAGUGGUGAUACGUGUGCAACUCCGAGAUCAGUUGGCUAAGGGCUGCAUAGAAUCUUAGGGAUCUUUUAAAGCACACUUCACAGCAGAUGGGAUUGCCAAAUAUGGCAGUCUGUCUUUUCUCAUGGGCUGUGCGGAGAGGAUCAGGGAAAGGUUACGAACUCCACUGUUUUCCUGUGGGCUCCAAAAACAACCAGAAAUAGCAGGGGCUCUGUUAUAUUUGGAAGAGAGUUUGCUACUAGACACUGCCUGUACGGUACUGACAUGACGCACACAUCGGACUUUGUUUAGUAACGUUUCCUUAAUCCCAUGUUCUCUACAUUGGGACCUGGUAGUUGAUUACUGUCGUGGAGUUUCUCUUAUUCCAUGGAACUUCUAUCUUAGAGAAGACCAGAGCACACAGCAGCAAAGAGAUUUUCUGAUAUUUAUUCCUCUUGCAAGCUGGGUGUUGGUUAAUGUUUGAGAAGUGAGACACCUAGCACAGAAGACACACACAGCUUUUACUCUAAUCAGUGAUAACACAAUUCAUUUUUCAGUGGAAAGUUACUGUUGGACAGGGAGCCCUGCUGGCACAAUACAGACAUGAACAUAGCUUGUCUUCUUAAAAAACCGAAAGGGUUUUGACCCAGAUAGGGGGAAUUGGGGGUGAAACACCUGGCUGCAGCGGUGAGAGAGCCGGAUCCUACCUACCUUCCUUCAUCUGCGGAAUGUCUCAGAACUCACACUCUUAACAUCUACAUACAUGCACACCUGGGGUUUUGUGUGAACAACAGAAAGCAUUCAAGCAAAGGUUCUGCUGUUUAUUAAGGUCCCAUUGGACAGGGAUUCUGUUAGUAGUGAAAGUUUUAUUCCCCAGAGCUUUUCGCCUGCUUUGUUAGAGAACAGUAUGACUAAUUGUGACACCUAGGGUUAUCACAGGUGACAAAAACACCUAAUCUUCAUCUCUUGUCCUUUGCCUUCAUGCAAAUAUUCUCCACUUGUCAUUGGCUAGGUAUAUGGUUCUUCUGAACCUGUUUGCAUGCGUGCUAUCAGUUUGAAAUCAAUCAUUGCAGUGAUAAAUGAAGUUUCGAACAAAUCUAUCGACUAUACCAAACACAGAUGACCACAAAUGCUGCAGCACCCAUUUUCAUGCAACCACUGCUUGGCCUAAAAUAGUACAUCCUUAACAGGAACUGAAGAUCUUGACUUUUGGACUGUAUUUAUCGUUCAAAUGAUUGCCAAGCGAGAUCAUUCCACAUGGCACUAGACUCGUGGAAACUAGGCUGAUGUUAGAGGAUUGACCCAAAGCAGAAGUGGAUUGGCUAAUGGGACCCGGAGCAGAAGUGGAUUGGCUAAUGGAACUCCGGACCAUGAAGAGUCUGUGCAGAGGGCCGCUUUCUCUCUCCCAGCCUCAAAUGAAGCCGUAAAUCUGUCAUCUCAC
Long non-coding RNA from Clupea harengus (Atlantic herring), 2758 nucleotides. NCBI's taxonomy places the organism in Eukaryota, Metazoa, Chordata, Actinopteri, Clupeiformes, Clupeidae. The record is from Ensembl.